GUGCGGAAGGAUCAUUU
This 17-nucleotide ribosomal RNA is filed under the name Ziziphus mauritiana (Indian jujube). RNAcentral describes it as "partial 18S ribosomal RNA". Lineage: Eukaryota; Viridiplantae; Streptophyta; Magnoliopsida; Rosales; Rhamnaceae. The record is from RNAcentral.